CCCUGGGUGGUGUAAAAAGUAAAGCAUGUGGCUGCCAACCAAAAGGGUGGUGGUUCAAGUCCACCCACAGGUA
RNAcentral lists this transfer RNA (73 nucleotides) under Loxodonta africana (African savanna elephant). It matches the Rfam family "tRNA". Rfam says of the family: Transfer RNA (tRNA) molecules are approximately 80 nucleotides in length. The record is from Rfam by way of RNAcentral. Lineage: Eukaryota; Metazoa; Chordata; Mammalia; Proboscidea; Elephantidae.